UAUUGUUUCUCCAAAUCAAUGACAUUAGAAUCGUGGUUCCACACCCAGAAGACAUUACGGCUAACAUCUUCAAGUUCGAUAAUCCAACGGCGAAAAGGUCGAUCAACUCGAACGUUUUUUAAGAAUUCAACCUCUUCAUCCUUAUCGUCUUUAAUAGAAAACAAGGAAAAAACUUGCAUUGCACCUUCUUCUUUGUCGAGAUGAGCUUUGUAAAAGGAGUGAACUAUUUGAACGAGUACUUCCCUUACGACAAAAUCACAUGGCUGUUUCUUUGAAAGCAAAAGGGAAAUCAAUCGCUCGACAUUAUAAGUGGAUUGAGAUAAACAUUCCAAUCCGCGCUAGGAAAAACGUUAGCAAUUGUCAAAGGCAAUGAAGACAUAGGUCUAAAUGUAUAUCACAUGCAUACCUGAACAGUGCACAUGGCUUUAACGCAAAGUAAAAGUUGCUCCAGUAUAGAAUCGUGCAGUUCCUCUCUCCAUUCAAGGCGAGAGAUUUUGUCGAUUGUACAAAAUACUACACCGAAACCGCCGUUGUGUAUAAACUUCUCUACCCAUCUGUAUUGCAGUUAGUAUGAA
Non-coding RNA from Schizosaccharomyces pombe (fission yeast), 575 nucleotides. The record is from the annotation of a GenBank genome assembly. NCBI's taxonomy places the organism in Eukaryota, Fungi, Ascomycota, Schizosaccharomycetes, Schizosaccharomycetales, Schizosaccharomycetaceae.